Molecule: long non-coding RNA, 412 nt
Organism: Pezoporus flaviventris
Lineage: Eukaryota; Metazoa; Chordata; Aves; Psittaciformes; Psittacidae
Exons: 2
Source: RefSeq, a predicted model, not a curated record
CCACCACACUCCCAUUGUGUCAGUCAAUCCUGUAGGGUUAAAGAAAGCUGGACAACAGUAUGUAUUUGUCAUGUCCCUUCUGUGCUGUUCUGAGGCAAGAGCAGUGAUGCUCAUGAAGGGAUAAUUAAACACCUGAUAGUUUCAAUACCACAUCCCAGUGUCCUUUAUCAGAGAAAUCAGUGUAUUUUUGACAGAAGAAAAUGAAGACACGAGGAGAUGGAAUAGCUUGCUCUGAAUUAUCCAGGAGAACUUUAAAUAAAGCCCAGAUCUUGUGUGUUCUUGGCAUUGAGCAGACAUUUAAAACAAAGUAAACAAGAAGAUGCUGUGUCCUGCAAGUUUCAAUGAGUUGCUCACGUAACAUUCUCAGUCUGUCUUUAUCCUAGUGUUGGAUAAUAAAUCUUGAAUAAAUAAA